Molecule: long non-coding RNA, 2530 nt
Organism: Capsicum annuum
Lineage: Eukaryota; Viridiplantae; Streptophyta; Magnoliopsida; Solanales; Solanaceae
Exons: 2
Source: RefSeq, a predicted model, not a curated record
AUAAUAUGAGUCACUAAAAUUAUCGAAAUAUCCUUGGUAGUCACCCCAGCCUUCACUUAUAUAUAGUAGUAAUUAUGAUAAGCUAGUGAAUGGAGAAGAUUUAGUAUCAUAUCCAUUUUGAAAACUUAAUCAAGGUCAUACCCAUUUAAUUUCCUUUUUAUUUAUUUUCUAGGAUUAGAGUAAGGAAAAAGCAAAAAGUGGGGUAGAAUUGUGGGUCAUAAGACCCCUUUAACAUUUUUAAAAGUUGAGGAUAAAAUAUAAGUUUGUAAAAAUACAAUGAGAUCCCUUUUUAUAUUUAUUAAAUAUUCAAUCCUUUUUCAAAUGCAUUUAAUAAAUGCAACAACUUUUCUCUUUCUCCUCAAAUAUUUUUCUCUCAAUUUUCUUUGAACUUAUUGAGAAGUCAAAUGUUUUUUUUUUCCCUUCCCAAGUCGAAAUAUUUCAUCUUCUCUUGCUCGGGUAAAUUUAAUCUUCUUUCCUGAUUAGUUUUAGAUUCAUUUUAGUAUUUUUUUUUGUUUCAUUUUUGUAUAGUGAUUCUUGGGGUUUUACAAAAAUUGCAUCGUUCUUGAUUAAAUUAGUGUAAAAUCUGUGAGUUUUUAGUUCUUGUUCUUGAUUUUGCAUUUUUAAUUGUGUUUUUUUUAAAUAAUGGCUAAUUUUUUUUUGAUUUUUUAUGUUUAUAUUGCCUUUCGAUUUUGAUUUUUUUUACUGAAUUAGAUCGAUUUUAAUGGUGUCCUUGUUGCUAUCAAUUGCAUUGUUGAUUUCUGAAAAAAUUGCUACUUAUUUUGGAAAGUGAAUAAAAAUUUAUUGGCAAGAUUAAGAAAUACGAGGACGGUAGUGCAUAUGAGAGGGAUAACAUUGAGAAUAGUGAAGGAGAGAGUGAAUGCAAAAGCUAAGAAGAAAGUGAAAGUAAUAGUAGUGAAGAUGAGAACAGGAGUGAUAUUAGAGAUAGAGAGGAUGAUGAUCCCCUAUCCUUGUCAAUUUGUGCAAGAGAUAUCUCCGUUGAAUUAUACGAUCUAGCUACAUGGAUUGCUGAGUUAGGUUCUUUUCAGUGAAGAUUUCUAUAAGAGGAAGGAUGACAGUUUAUAAGGAGUUUAGAAAGAUUUUAGCUGAACAAAAGCUAUAUGUUGACUUUAAGUAAAUCUGUUUUAGACACUUAAGACAUUUGCUAAAACAUUCUAAAUUCAAUGGGCAGAUGAUCCAUUACAUGUUGCUGCGACAUGUCAAAAAGAAUAAAAAGUUACAUGAAAAUUUGAUUCUAUGUGAACGAUAAGACAACUUAUUCUGGCUUAAAGGAAUUUUCUCUGAUUACGAAGUUGAAUUAUUCAGCAUACCCCGAUGAAUCAGAAAUGAACAAAAUCCUUUAAAAUAGUAAAGGUUUUCAUUUUAAGAUGAAGAAGAACAAGAACAUUACUACUGCAAGGCUAAUUAGCUUGAUCAAAGGUAAUAAGUUAAGUAAGAAGCAAAAGUUGAAGUGCUCUUUAAUUUGGUUCAUGCACACGAUGUUGCUGGUAAAGGACCCGUCAAAGAAGGUGAAUUCAGACUAUAUCAAAAUAACGACUGAUUUAGAUUUCUUCGAGAGUUAUUCUUGGGAGAAACAGUCGAUUAGACUAAAGUUGAGAUAUUUGAAAAAGAAAAUUGAUUUAAGUAAACAGAAAAAAGGGUUUGUCAAGAAGAAUCACGUAGUAUACACUUUAUAUGGCUUUCUUUGGACAUUUCUUGUACUUAUUAUCUAUCAUCUUGUCAAUUUAUUAUAGACUUUGAUCUAUUUAUGCAAUAACACAUAAACCUUGUAGAUUUAUUUAUACUUCUAUUGAUUAUAGGUUUGGAUAUAUGAGGCUCUUCUCCAUCUUGAAAAGUAUGCCGAUAAGUCACUGGUUUCUCCUUUGCUCAUUUUUCGUCUACUUAAAUGACACACGUCAAAGAGAGAUAAAAUAAUGAAAUGCGAGCCAUUUAAGUACAAGGAAAAUAACACAAAGUUAAACUUUUUCUUUUUACAACAACAACAACAUUUUUAAACUAGUGAGUGUUUUGCAAUUUAUAUUUAUUUUUUAGAUUUUGCAACCAUAUCUUAUUUCUACUGUCCGUGAGAUGAAGCAGACCUACAUGAAAACAUUUAAGUCAUACACAAAUAAAGUUAGGGACCUGUUCAUUGAUGUAUUGAAGGGGAGUGUGACUAUCUUCACUUUAUCAAUAGAGGUCGUAGAAGAAGAUAAAGAUUUAAGUGGUCACAAUUAUGUCCCAGGUACAAUACGUUUUUGUGAUCAUGAUUUUUUUGGUGGAUAAAAAAUCACACUAAACACUUCUAAUGAUAAGAUAUGUGUGAGCGUGUUACUUUGCUCAAGAAAAUUGUGUUGGAUAUUGUUUCUUAUGUCAGAUAUGGGAGUUUAAGGAGAAUUGAGAAGAACAAGAAGAACCAAUAAGAUGAAGUCAUAAUAAUUGAUCUUGCAGCAGCAAAUGAAAAAUAGAAGAAAAGAAGAAAGAAGAAGAAAUGAAAGAGGAUAGGGUAACAAAUGAAGAAGACAAGUAAGAAGAA